This 484-nucleotide ribosomal RNA is filed under the name uncultured bacterium. Its description in RNAcentral is "partial 16S ribosomal RNA". It matches the Rfam family "Bacterial small subunit ribosomal RNA", at positions 30 to 507 of the family's 1533-position model. The record is from RNAcentral.
AUUGAACGCUGGCGGCAGGCCUAACACAUGCAAGUCGAGCGGAUGAAGGGAGCUUGCUCCUGGAUUCAGCGGCGGACGGGUGAGUAAUGCCUAGGAAUCUGCCUGGUAGUGGGGGAUAACGUCCGGAAACGGGCGCUAAUACCGCAUACGUCCUGAGGGAGAAAGUGGGGGAUCUUCGGACCUCACGCUAUCAGAUGAGCCUAGGUCGGAUUAGUUAGUUGGUGGGGUAAAGGCCUACCAAGGCGACGAUCCGUAACUGGUCUGAGAGGAUGAUCAGUCACACUGGAACUGAGACACGGUCCAGACUCCUACGGGAGGCAGCAGUGGGGAAUAUUGGACAAUGGGCGAAAGCCUGAUCCAGCCAUGCCGCGUGUGUGAAGAAGGUCUUCUGAUUGUAAAGCACUUUAAGUUGGGAGGAAGGGCAGUAAGUUAAUACCUUGCUGUUUUGACGUUACCAACAGAAUAAGCACCGGCUAACUUCGUG